CACAUGGUAGCGCAGGUUGCCUAGAGGCUUAAUGAAAAGGGAAGAGGCAUCUUAAAAUGCUGCAAAAAACCCGAAAUGAGAAUCUAAAGUUAUUGAGUUAGAAAUUAUUCCAGAGCCAGCAUGAUGCUGAUUUAAGCUGAAAAGCCUUGGAAACGUUCACUGAUUUUUCCGUAGAAAAAUAGGUGCUGGUACACACCAUGAAGUUGUUACAGUAAGUGUCACACUUUUUAACACAAAGGGGGGGGUGGUACUGUGUGCCCUUGAGUACCCCCCUAGAGAAAAGCACCCUGGAAACAUUCAUUUAUGAGGAUUUUUUUACAGCAAAUGCUUAUAAAAAUUAGGGUACUCCUGUACUUAGACAUGCAGAAUUAAUAAAGCAUUUAGUUUACGUUACUUACAACCUGAUAAAGAAGCAAAAGGGGGAAAUAUUUGUACAAAUAAAGUAAUAUUUGUACUUGGAAGUACAAAUGAAGAUCAAGUUAAUCACACUUAUUCUCAUUGAAAUCAAUGUGAAAAGUUAGUCAUGGCAUACUUAAGUCACCAUGAUUUCAGGUUUGACUCAGGCUGCAUACACAUCUUACAUUUUAAGUACAUUCUCCCCCAAAGGAUCCUUGGAAGUGUAGCUUCUGAAGGGUGCUAGGAUCUAUAGCUCUCUGAGGGAUCAAUGACAGCUCUUAGGAUUUGUUGUUGUUGUUGUUGUUGUUUAGAGGGGGUUGCUUUAAAUGUAUGGUGUGUAUGCAGCCUCAGAAAUGCAAUAUGAUGUAAUGUGCCUUAGCAUUCAGCUCUUAGCAUUUUGGUACGGCUGGCUGAGGCUCCAAAAUAUCAGGAAGGCUUCAAGUGUUCUGACCUUGGCAAGAACUCAUUGCAAUUCGAUACAUGCAGGAUGACAGGGAGACCCAAGGGUGGUCCGUGAGGACUAAGCUUGUAUGCACCCUUGAAUGUGCAAAGAAAAGAACAUUUCACGACAGGUCCUCUGCAUUGCAUGAUGGGGGUUUUGCAAAUAUUAUUUCAACACACUGUGGCGACAAUGCCUCAAUAUUGGCAAACCCUACAACUGCCAAAAUGCCACAAUGCCAGAAGUCUGAUGAAGGGUGUAAUCCCAGACUGGGACAAGCUGGGAGUCAACUCCAAUAGGUUGCAUUCAAUGGCCCUCUUCCAUGAAUGGCAGAAAUCCUUCCAUAGGUGAUACCUUUAACCUGGCAGAGGCCUCCAUUAAUGGAAAGUGGGGGAGGAAUUUCCUUCCAUGCCCCCUCAGCAGGAGCUUUCUCUCCCUCCGAUGCCACCCUCCGCUUUUCGAUCUGGGUGGGGCUGGUGUGGGGCGAGGAUAAUAAUAAUAAUAAUAAUAAUAAUAAUAAUAAUAUAUUUAUUAUUUAUACCCUGCCCAUCUGGUUGUGUUUCCCCAGUCACUCAGGGUGGCUCCCAAAAUAAUAAUAAUAAUAAUAAUAAUAAUAAUAUAAAACUGAAUUGGACAAUGGGGGUGGAGACACAUCCCCUCCUCUUCUGCUAGCAGACACAUCCAUUGGGUCCAACGCCCUUCCACAAAUGAAAGGACACAACUGGAUUGAGCUCAAUGGGACGUGCAACAUGCAAUCCUGUUUUAUCUCCACCUCUCUGAUGUUAAAGAGUGAAUUAAUUCCACUCAUCUUUUACUGCUAUUCCUCGCUGGUUCGAUAAGCCUACCUUCGGGAAAGCUGGAACUUCCAGCGCGACUCUUCUGUUUUUCCUGAUGAAGAAAUUAAAACUAAUUUGAAAAAUAUGGCAAACAACGCCACAGUGCUCCAUUUGCAUCUGGUAUACUUUUGCGUGUAAUUGCUUCACAGUUCUCCUCCCCCCUGCCCCCCACGCCAUAUUAAGUGAAAACAGAAUGUUUUUAGAAGAUGUGCAGUUGAAAGAAUAAACAUCCCCCAAAGAAAUGAGGUUAAUUUCUGUUUUAUCCUCAUUUUGUUUUGUUUCUUUUGGAAUAAAUAACAGCUCCCCCCUCCUUCCCCCCUUAAGAAAUGCACAAAGGCUUCACAACUAUUUUCCAGGUCACUUGGACCCUUUGAGCAAGAAGACCUUCUCUUGCACGCUUACACUGGGGUAUAUGGGACCAGCUUAUGCUUUCAUUACAUGUUACUCAACUCCCACAUCCCUACCAUUAGGCAGAAUGAGCCGCCUGCCUCAGGCAGCAGGUGCUGAGUGGGGCAUGUGUAUCAGACAGAACUGUGUAUGCCAGCACCCUGCAAGCUAGCCUGUUGCCCCCAUGGGCUGUGGAGGACACUAUCCCAUUCCCUGUAUUGGAAAAAGAUUCAACAGUCAAUCUGGUUGGCUUUUGUACAUGGAAUCUGGCAUAGAUGAAUCUGCCAAGUAUACCUGAAGGAGCGUCUCCACCCCCAUCGUUCAGCACUGAGGUCCAGUUCCAAAGGCCUUCUGGUGAUUCCCUUACUGCGAGAAGUGAGGUUGCAGGGAACCAUCAGAUGUCAAGGAAAUAAACAACUACCUGACUUCAGAAGACAUCUGAAGGCAGCCCUGUUUAGGGAAGUUUUUAAUGUUUGAUAUUUUAUUGUGUUUUUAAUAUUCCAUUGGGAGCCACCCAGAGUGCCUGGGGAAACCCAGCCAGAUGGGCAGGGUAUAAAUAAUUCAUUCUUCUUCUUCUUCUUCUUCUUCUUCUUCUUCUUCUUCUUCUUCUUCUUCUUACAAAUUUGUUUUCUCUCAGUUUUAUCAGUCUUCCAAUCCACGUUUCCAAUCAGUUCCUGAUUAUUUUCAUCUUUUAAAAAGUGCUCAUGAAAAUUCAUUGACAUGCAGAAUAGCAUUUCAGUGCAAAUCUCUCCUAGUAUACACAUUUUUGUCUGCAAUUUUGCCCAAUACAUAGAUUUUUGCAAGGCAACCUCCCCUAAAACAAUGUGUUUUUCUGUGUUUUCUGUGUUGUGUUCACUAACACGUGAAUUUUGAUGUACACUCUACCCUGGUAAAUGCAUCUUUGAUAGGCAGGAGAGCCACACCACAAAAUCUGGAGACAUGCGUAUUUUGAAUGAUGGCUGCUUCUGUUUGCAUGCUGUUCUGAAAAGUGCAAAAUUUGGAGGCUUGUCUUUAAAUGUGAACAGAAUCAAAUUUCUCCCCCAUCCUUUAGAGGGAGCAAUAACAUGGCUGCAAACGCAGCUUGGAGGUUGUCAAUAAGCUCUUGUUAUGAAAGACUAUAAACUCUUAUGCAUGAAGGGGUGGAUACAAAAGGGAGGAGAGGGUUGUCCACCUGUAGGUAUGCUCCCAAGGGCCCCCCAAAACCUGGAAACAGCCACCACACACUUAAGGCUGAGGGAGACUGCUUUUAAACUAUUUCCUCUUCCUUUGGCUCAGUGCAUUUUUAAUAUGGGUCACCUGGCCUCUCUAAUUAGCUGGUGAUUUAUUUUCCAGCAACUCCAACAGAUUAUGUCAAGGUGUGCAAGGUUGGUGGCUCCCUAAAAGGUUGUCCUUGUCGCAGAUGGAGCAUGUUAUGCGGAAUGAAACCAGAUCACAAUAGACUUAUUUAUUUUAUUAGAAACAGCAUGCACCCAAAAAUGAGGCUAGGAGUGGAAUAGUAGCUGUAUAGCAGCCCAAGGAGAGUUAUGUGCUCAUAGAACAAUAGAAAAUGAGACAAUGGAAGAAAAGUAUUCCAAGCCUUCUGAAAUCUUGGUUUUAAUGGAGCCAUGUCAAACCUCCUAGGGAAACACGAAUGACUGCUAGACUUUGCUUAGAGAUUAUUGUGAUUCAGCAGUGUACAAAUUUUUGAAAUAAGUAAACAAAGCGCAUGCUAUUAGCACCAGGAUUCCUGCUUAUGCGACGGAAUUUCCUCCUCCUCUCCUUACUUACAUAUGUCCUCCAUCCUCCUCCAAUCUCCUCCAGAAGGUUGCAGGGAAACCCAGAACACAUUUAGAGGGCAUGUGUUGGGAGGAGAGGGAGAGGAAGUUGUAUUGCAGAAGCAGAAAUCCCUCUGCGGAUGGAACCAGUUAGUUGGAUACCUCCCCAUGGUUCUAUUAAUGCAGCCUAUAAUUACAUUAGCAUUUUUUUGCAGCUACAUGACACUUCUGGCUCAUGCUCAGCUUGUGAUCAACUGCAACCCUCUUUUUCCCAUUCUUCUAAACUGUUUAAAUAGGCCUUCUAAUAGGCCACCCCUAACCAAUUAUUCAAAAUGCAAGUUCCGAUUAUUUUCAUGGAACCAAAGUGCAAAUGUUCUUCCUGUUAGGACAAACCUAUCUGGUUUUUAAAAGUUUUUUUCUGGUGUGAUUACCUUCUUUGGCACCUUUUCAGCCUUUACAGCUCUCCGUCCUCAAUUUGAUCACAUUUGUUAACAGGUUUCCUGAAUUAUUGGACCCAGGACAGAGCAGACUACUGACAAAGAGUUCUCACUGCAUCCUGAAAAUUCUUAGGCAAACCACUGAUAUGUCUCGGAGGAACAAAAAGAGAAAAGAGUGGAAGGAACGGGCCUCCCUUCAAAGUGAAACAUAUGUGAGUGGGCCUUUGGAACUCUCUGCCUUGUCCCCAGUAAACAAAACCUACUUUUGACAGGCCCCACAUGGCUUUUAUCCAUUGACCUGCACACAUAAGGGGUUGAAGAUGGUAUGCUGGUAGUGGUAGGUGCUCCUCUGACCUCACAACAGCUGAAUCCCCACUGCUUUCUGGGAAGAAGAGGCAGAGGGGAAUGUGGGGAGGUCAGUGAAUUUCAAAUGCACCAGCAGGACUGCUGAAUUGGCUUUGCUGGUGUAUUUGCACCUUGCCAACUUCUCUGCUAUCUGCUACCUUGGCCCUCCCCCUUUCCUCCUAGUAAGUAAGCAACUCAGCUAUCAGGGCAUCAGGUGAGCACUGCGGCCCACCACACAUUCUGCUGCUGUGCUCAUAAAUCCCUUUCAAACCUCUGCCACAUAUACCGUUACCCGAGGAAUGGCCGCUGAGAGUGGUGGUGUGACGGUGUGUGUCUGUGAUAAGUGAAACUAUAGGCAUGGUUGGCUUCAUCUACCUAGUUUAUCCAAUGAAAACCCUGAUAUUGAUUGAUUGAUUGAUUGAUUGAUUGAUUGAUUGAUAAAGUGCAAAUGGCACUUUAUUUUCCCUCAAAGUGUAGCUUGUGUAGCAAAUGCCACCCUACCAGAAAUUAUAAUGUGUGUGUGUGUGUGUGUGUGUGUGUGUGUUUAAAUACAUCUGGCGGCCAUUUGUAGUGAGCAUAAUAAAGACUUGUUCCAAUUAGGCAUGUGAAUUUCCUCUUUGAAGAGUAAAAAAAAUAGGUGUUACUUCAUGCUCAUAUAAAUUCUGACUUUACGCCUGCAUAAAAUCAGUAGUAAAAAGAGGCUAAAUCCUAGACAUCUCCUACGCGCUGAUACUUGUAGAGGCAUAUCACAUACUUCAGAGAUGUUUCUAUUCUGAAGUAUACAUUAGACAGACAUUGCUUUAUGGGGAAAGAAAAAUGGUGUUAGACUAUGUUAUAAGGUCACAGCAUAUUUUUUUGUGAUGUUAUCCAAUCACACAGGAACUGGUUUCCAAAGAGCAAGACAGAGAAUAUGUAUUGUUGCAUGCCACUCCCAAACUCUGAGCAGUGUGAGAUUCCAGGGGUUCCAGGCACUUAUCCAGUGUUCUUGUUCCCUUUUGGAAUUAGACACAGUGGAGAUUGCAAUGUCUUUAUGAUAUAUGGUUUAUUUGCACAUAUAUACAACCUGAGCAUAUGAGGGAGGGGUUCACACUGACAUCCCAAGUAGGCAUUCUGUUCCUACAGUGGCCAACUUGAGGUCCACAAGACGUAGGACGCAGGUGGCGCUGUGGUCUAAACCACUGAGCCUCUUGGGCUUGCCAAUUGGAAGGUUGCCAGUUUGAAUCCCCAUGACAGGGUGAGCUCCCGUUGAUCUGUUUUCAAAGCCUCAAUAUAUACAGGUGACAAUCCAAAGUAUUAGCUCUUUUCCUUCUGCUUGUUUUUAAUCUGACAUAAAGAUCUUGGCCUUCCACCAACCAGCCAGGAUGAUCACAUUGUGAGGUUCUCUUUGCGUUUAAGCAAAUGCGCAAUCAGUUAAACACUCAUUUCUUUGUUUUGCCUUUAUAGAGCCCUGAUAAUAUCAGAUGUUCAAAAGGGGAAGCAGAGAAAGGUUAUUCUUGAGAAACUCUCGUGAAGAAGAUUGGCAUAGGGUGAAGCGUAUUAUGAGAGAGACCUCACUCCAAAAGGAAACAUCUGGCAUCCAUCAGCCAGAGUUAUCAUGCUAGAAGGUUUCUGAUGCAGGCACACUUUUGAACGUUAGUGGGAAUUUUAGCACUAAGAGAUG
Molecule: non-coding RNA, 6254 nt
Organism: Podarcis lilfordi (Lilford's wall lizard)
Lineage: Eukaryota; Metazoa; Chordata; Lepidosauria; Squamata; Lacertidae
Source: the annotation of a GenBank genome assembly